AGCUAACUCAGUAGACUUGGCUAAGCAUGUAGUCCCGAAAGCGGCGCACUGGCGGACGGGGGUUCAAAUCCCCCCGGCUCCACCA
Molecule: transfer RNA, 85 nt
Filed under: Aquipseudomonas alcaligenes
Lineage: Bacteria; Pseudomonadati; Pseudomonadota; Gammaproteobacteria; Pseudomonadales; Pseudomonadaceae
Description: Pseudomonas alcaligenes tRNA-OTHER
Rfam family: transfer-messenger RNA
About the family: Bacterial tmRNA, also known as 10Sa RNA or SsrA, is named for its dual tRNA and mRNA-like properties. Its role is to liberate the mRNA from a stalled ribosome.
Source: RNAcentral